RNAcentral lists this ribosomal RNA (497 nucleotides) under uncultured bacterium. RNAcentral describes it as "partial 16S ribosomal RNA". It matches the Rfam family "Bacterial small subunit ribosomal RNA", at positions 28 to 507 of the family's 1533-position model. The record is from RNAcentral.
GACGAACGCUGGCGGCGUGCCUAAUACAUGCCAGUUGAGCGCUGAAGGUUGGUACUUGUACCAACUGGAUGAGCAGCGAACGGGUGAGUAACGCGUGGGGAAUCUGCCUUUGAGCGGGGGACAACAUUUGGAAACGAAUGCUAAUACCGCGUAAAAACUUUAAACACAAGUUUUAAGUUUGAAAGAUGCAAUUGCAUCACUCAAAGAUGAUCCCGCGUUGUAUUAGCUAGUUGGUGAGGUAAAGGCUCACCAAGGCGAUGAUACAUAGCCGACCUGAGAGGGUGAUCGGCCACAUUGGGACUGAGACACGGCCCAAACUCCUACGGGAGGCAGCAGUAGGGAAUCUUCGGCAAUGGACGAAAGUCCGACCGAGCAACGCCGCGUGAGUGAAGAAGGUUUUCGGAUCGUAAAACUCUGUUGGUAGAGAAGAACGUUGGUGAGAGUGGAAAGCUCAUCAAGUGACGGUAACUACCCAGAAAGGGACGGCUAACUACGUG